CUCAGUAUUCCUACUUCUCCAGUGCACAGCUGACGCCUCUAUGGGUGCGACUAAGGGUUCAGCUCCACAGGAAGCGUAUGAGGGGAAGAGCAGGCACCCCACCCACCUCUGCUCAGAUCGUGCUGUCCCUUGUUUUGUACUGCUUGGCUGUGUUGUUCUCCCUUCAGCUGAGGAGAGUACGCAAACAUUUUUAAAAGACAGAGAGAGAGAGAGAGAGAGAGAAAAGUUUGCAUUAUUUAUGUUAGUGCCACAGAUUUAUUUCCAAAAAGUCCCUGUUUGCUGGAGAUUUAAAAAAAAAUACCACUGCCCCUUCUUCCAGAUUACAAAGGCCGCUGAUUUAGUCCUUUGGCUCUGCUGCGUCCUCCUUCCUGACUUGAUUCCUCCUAGCAAGUGCCUCCCCAGCAGAUUUCCCUGUGAUGGGGUGGGAGACUCAAAGCAGGCCGCCUCAGAAGUAAACAAAGGCACUGGAGGACAGUGAUGGUGACAAGGUAGCACAGUCGUGUGAGGAAUGUGGGCCGCUCGGCCAGAUGGGGCAGCAGCACAUAACUGCUUUAGUAGCAGAAAAUUUUGCUGUUUUGAGUUUGUUUCUUCCUCUGCAAAAUGAAGACAGGAUCUACCCUGCUGGUUCAAAGCGAAGGUCAAGCGCCAGAACCAGACAAGUGUGGCUAUUUCAGCAAACAGCGAAAAAAAGCCCCCGAGUUCCCAUGCGAGAAGACGCACUUGCGAAGAUGCCAUUUCUGGCAGCGGCAAGUGUGGCACAGGCUCUCCUGUCAAACACUGAAGUGCAGAAGAACCUUCUAGAACAUCAAAUGUCUGCUUCCUGAAGAGAAUCGCUGUGCAUGAUCUCCACAGUAGAGAAGCUGAAAGUGGGCUACGAUCACGUAAGAAAAAGGCCUCCCACCAGCGUUGGUGAUGCGCACAGCUAGAAUCCCAGCAGUCUGGGAGGCGGAGGGAGGAGGGAGGGCGGAAAGUUCGGGCCCAGCCUGGACAAGCCAGCAACCGAGGGAGAGACCCUGUCUCAAAAUAAAAACAAAGUAAAAUAAAAUACGAAGAAAGGGCUAGGGGUGGGAUGUAGCUCAGUGCGAAGGCCCUGGCUUCACGCACCAGUAAUGCGGAGGUGGGGAGGGUGGAUCCCCAGAUACUUAAGAUCAGUGAGAUCAACCACAAAUUACAUUUUGAGGCUCAUAACUGAAACUGCCCUGCCCCAGGCUCUGACAGCGUUGUCUGAACUCCCAGCGCCAGGGCCCCUGAGCGGAAGGAAGACAGCAGGCGCUGCACCCUACUUCUGUAUGUCCCUGCCUCCUGCGCUUGUCCCGCUCACGUCACAGUAACCCCGGCCACCAAGGCUUCUGCAUGGCUUUGAUAGUCUUCUCUUCAUUAUCAGCUGAGGUUUUUUUUUUUUUUUUAAAGUAUGGAGUUUUCAGAAAA
Molecule: long non-coding RNA, 1428 nt
Organism: Chinchilla lanigera (long-tailed chinchilla)
Lineage: Eukaryota; Metazoa; Chordata; Mammalia; Rodentia; Chinchillidae
Exons: 3
Source: RefSeq, a predicted model, not a curated record